CUAGCUGUAAACGAUGGAUACUAGGCGUUGAGAGUAUCGACCCUCUCAGUGUCGUAGCUAACGCGUUAAGUAUCCCGCCUGGGGAGUACGCGCGCAAGCGUGAAACUCAAAGGAAUUGACGGGGGCCCGCACAAGCGGUGGAGUAUGUGGUUUAAUUCGAUGCAACGCGAAGGACCUUACCAGGGCUUGACAUGUCCGGAACCCUGCCCAAAGGCGGGGGUGCCUACGGGAACCGGAACACAGGUGGUGC
RNAcentral lists this ribosomal RNA (250 nucleotides) under uncultured Chroococcidiopsis sp. RNAcentral's name for it is "partial 16S ribosomal RNA". It matches the Rfam family "Bacterial small subunit ribosomal RNA", at positions 796 to 1044 of the family's 1533-position model. The record is from RNAcentral. Lineage: Bacteria; Bacillati; Cyanobacteriota; Cyanophyceae; Chroococcidiopsidales; Chroococcidiopsidaceae.